CAGUAGGGUGCCAUCAAGAGGUGUAUUUGGAAAUAUCCCUAAUACAGGAUCACACA
RNAcentral lists this ribosomal RNA (56 nucleotides) under Enterocytozoon bieneusi. RNAcentral describes it as "partial large subunit ribosomal RNA". The record is from RNAcentral. Lineage: Eukaryota; Fungi; Microsporidia; Enterocytozoonidae.